This 157-nucleotide ribosomal RNA is filed under the name Penicillium javanicum. RNAcentral describes it as "5.8S ribosomal RNA". It matches the Rfam family "5.8S ribosomal RNA". Rfam says of the family: 5.8S ribosomal RNA (5.8S rRNA) is a component of the large subunit of the eukaryotic ribosome. Lineage: Eukaryota; Fungi; Ascomycota; Eurotiomycetes; Eurotiales; Aspergillaceae. The record is from RNAcentral.
ACACUUUCAACAAGGGAUCUCUUGGUUCCGGCAUCGAUGAAGAACGCAGCGAAAUGCGAUAAGUAAUGUGAAUUGCAGAAUUCAGUGAAUCAUCGAGUCUUUGAACGCACAUUGCGCCCCAUGGUAUUCCGGGGGGCAUGCCUGUCCUAGCGUCAUU